RNAcentral lists this ribosomal RNA (392 nucleotides) under uncultured bacterium. RNAcentral describes it as "partial 16S ribosomal RNA". It matches the Rfam family "Bacterial small subunit ribosomal RNA", at positions 523 to 918 of the family's 1533-position model. The record is from RNAcentral.
AUACGGAGGAUCCGAGCGUUAUCCGGAUUUAUUGGGUUUAAAGGGUGCGCAGGCGGCCAUUUAAGUCAGCGGUUAAAUCGUGGGGCUCAACCCCAUUCUGCCGUUGAUACUGGGUGGCUUGAUUGCGGUCGAGGUUGGCGGAAUUCGUUGUGUAGCGGUGAAAUGCAUAGAUAUGACGAAGAACACCGAUUGCGUAGGCAGCUGACCAGACCGCAAAUGACGCUCAUGCACGAAAGUGCGGGGAUCGAACAGGAUUAGAUACCCUGGUAGUCCGCACAGUAAACGAUGAAUACUUGUUUUCGGCGAUAUAAUGUCGGAGGCAAAGCGAAAGCAAUAAGUAUUCCACCUGGGGAGUACGCCGGCAACGGUGAAACUCAAAUGAAUUGACGGGG